CUUGAUCCUUCGUGCAAUUUUUCUCUCUUGUUUUCAACUUUCGUUCUUUUCGUUUUGUUGUUUUUCGUUACAUGGUAUCAGAGCGUUCAGGUUCUUUGUUUUGUGUUUGAGUUUAAAUACUCGGUGACGAUGAACGGUGGAAGCAACAUUUGUGUAGACGAGCUUACCGGUGAUAAUUAUAGUUAUUGGAGGCUAUGUAAGGAAGCUUUUCUUCAAGGACAAGAUUUGUGGGAUCUUUUUUUCGGUGAUGAUUCAAUUUUAGAAGACAUUAUGGAGAAUGCGGAGGCACAGAGGAAGUGGAAGGUCAAGUGUGGCAAAGCCUUAUUUACUUUGCAAACUUUUAUAAGCAAGAGUAUGUAUAACAUGUUCCUGAUGAUAAUUCUCCAAAGAAAGUGUGGGGCACACUUGUAAGAUUGUUCACUCAGAAGAAAACAACAAGAUUGCAGUAUUUGGAGAAUGAACUUGCUAAAACAACUCAAGGUAAUUUUUCUGUUUCAGAAUAUUUUCUGAAAAUUAAGACUUUGUGUUUUGAAAUUUUAGAAUUGGACAAAGAGGAGCCUAUUAGCGAUGCUCUUUUGUGUCUUAUCUUAUUCAUGGACAGUGAAAGGAGUUUAUGCCAUUUAUUUCUAUGAUACAAGGUUGGAUAAAUCAACCUUCUAUCGUUGAGUUGGAGAAUUUGCUCUCAAAUCAAGAAGCAUUGAUGAAACAAAUACUUCACAACACAACCAAUCUCAUUUCAUGGUGGAAGCUAUUCUUUAUACAAAAGAUAAGGGAAUAGUCAAUUAUUCUUCCAAACAUUCUACAAAUGACAAUAAUGAUUCUAAGAUUGAAGGGCAGUCCAAGGGCCAAUUGAAGGGAUGUUUUAGGUGCGGUAAGCUAGGACACAUCAAACUUGAUUGUUGGAUGAAGGUGGUAUGUCAUCGUUGUAGAAAAUCGGGUCAUUUUAGACCAAAUUAUUGUGUGGAUCUCAAAGAAGAAGGAGAAACUAUUGUACAAGAAAGUAACAAAUUUGAGCAAAUUAAAUAGGAACAAUGCUUAUCAAUUGAAGCUAUUGAUCAACCCAUUAAUUUUCAUGCUAAUGUUUCUAUAGAUUACAAUACAAAUUGAAUUGUUGAUUCCAGUUGUUCUCACCAUACAACUAAAAAUAUUUCUCUUCUCUCUGAUGUAUGUGCUCACAAAGGAGGAAGAGUAAUUGUAACAGUUGACAAUUCCUUACAGUCUAUUAUUGAAGAAGUGGAUGUUAAUGUUGAGAACAGUAGUAUUUCUCUUACAAAUGUUUAUCAUGUUCCAGGUUUAAAGAAGAAUUUUGUUUCAAUCUCUCGAAUUGCUGACUCUGGGAGACAUGUUCUUUUUGGACCAAAUGAUGUGAAAAUUAUUUCAGAUGUUAUGAAGGUCAAAAUGAUGGUGCAACACUUUGGGAUGCUCGACUAGGUCAUGUUGGUUACCAAUUGUUGGAAAAAAAUUCUAUGAAGAAGCUUCUUGAUGGUGUUCCUCUCUUUAAAGAAACACACGAUGAUGUGGUUAGCUCUGGUUAUCAAUUUGGUAAGUCACACCGUCUUCCUUUCCUAAAUUCAAAUAACAGAUUUACUGUUGCAUUGCAGUUAGUUCAUUCAGAUUUGAUGGGACCACUAAAACACCCAACUAUUCUAGUUGUUGUUAUGUUAUGGUUAUUGUGGGUACUUUUUCUCAUUUCACUUGGAUGUAUUUUCUUGAAGCUAAAAGUGAGACUUUCUCCAAGUUUAUCUAGUUCAAGAAGUAAGUAGAGAAGGAAUUUAUGUUACCUAUAAAGUGUCUUCACAUAGAUAAUGGGAAGAAGAUAUGUCUGAUCAGUUUCAUAAUUAUUGCAAAGAGCAUGGGAUUCAACGCCAAAUGACGUAUCUUGACACUCCACAACAGAAAAGAGUUGCUGAACGUAAAUUAGCACAUCUUACCUCCAUGUGCUUGUCUCGGCUACAUGUAAAGAAUCUUCCAAGGGAGCUAUAGGCAAUCGUUAUUCAGUCAACUUAUCAUGUUAUAAAUUGCUUAUCUCCAUGGGUGAGGUCGAUUAUAUCUUCUUUUGAGAUAUUAUAUCAUCAGAAACCCAAUGAAAGGAUGGAGAUGUAUAGAACCAAAGAUGAGAGAAGUUUUUGUUUCUCGUGAUGUGGUGUUUGACAAAGGUUCGUCAUACCAAAUAGAUGCAAAUUCAAAGAAAGAAGACAUUGUUGACGUGCCACCUUUCUUUACUGAUCAUGCAUCGAAUGAGAAUGGUAUUAAUGUUAAUCUUGGAGAAAAUGUUGAGGCAAAUGAAGAUACCAAAUUGUUGCUUAUAAGUCUUCUAGACCGUGAACACGACCUAGUUAUUUAUCUGAUUAUGAGGUACACUUGAAUAAUUUUUCAUUUGUAUCUUGUUUUUU
Molecule: non-coding RNA, 2393 nt
Organism: Benincasa hispida (wax gourd)
Lineage: Eukaryota; Viridiplantae; Streptophyta; Magnoliopsida; Cucurbitales; Cucurbitaceae
Source: RefSeq, a predicted model, not a curated record